RNAcentral lists this ribosomal RNA (459 nucleotides) under uncultured bacterium. RNAcentral describes it as "bacterial SSU rRNA". It matches the Rfam family "Bacterial small subunit ribosomal RNA", at positions 340 to 788 of the family's 1533-position model. The record is from RNAcentral.
UACGGGAGGCAGCAGUGGGGAAUAUUGCACAAUGGGCGCAAGCCUGAUGCAGCCAUGCCGCGUGUAUGAAGAAGGCCUUCGGGUUGUAAAGUACUUUCAGUCGUGAGGAAGGUGUUAAGGUUAAUAACCUUAGCAAUUGACGUUAGCGACAGAAGAAGCACCGGCUAACUCCGUGCCAGCAGCCGCGGUAAUACGGAGGGUGCGAGCGUUAAUCGGAAUUACUGGGCGUAAAGGGCACGCAGGCGGUUAAUUAAGUUGGAUGUGAAAUCCCCGGGCUUAACCUGGGAAUGGCAUUCAAGACUGGUUAGCUAGAGUCUUGUAGAGGGGGUAGAAUUCCAUGUGUAGCGGUGAAAUGCGUAGAGAUGUGGAGGAAUACCGGUGGCGAAGGCGGCCCCUGGGACAAAGGGACUGACGCUCGAUGUGCGAAAGCGUGGGGAGCAAACAGGGAUUAGAUACCCG